AUUGAACGCUGGCGGCAGGCCUAACACAUGCAAGUCGAACGGUAGCACAGAGAGCUUGCUCUCGGGUGACGAGUGGCGGACGGGUGAGUAACGUCUGGGAAACUGCCCGAUGGAGGGGGAUAACUACUGGAAACGGUAGCUAAUACCGCAUAACGUCGCAAGACCAAAGCGGGGGACCUUCGGGCCUCACACCAUCGGAUGUGCCCAGAUGGGAUUAGCUAGUAGGUGGGGUAAUGGCUCACCUAGGCGACGAUCCCUAGCUGGUCUGAGAGGAUGACCAGCCACACUGGAACUGAGACACUGUCCAGACGCCUACGGGAGGCAGCAGUGGGGAAUAUUGCACAAUGGGCGCAAGCCUGAUGCAGCCAUGCCGCGUGUAUGAAGAAGGCCUUCGGGUUGUAAAGUACUUUCAGCGGGGAGGAAGGCGGUGAAGUUAAUAGCUUCACCGAUUGACGUUACCCGCAGAAGAAGCACCGGCUAACUCCGUGCCAGCCGCCGCCGUAA
Molecule: ribosomal RNA, 504 nt
Filed under: uncultured bacterium
Lineage: Bacteria
Description: partial 16S ribosomal RNA
Rfam family: Bacterial small subunit ribosomal RNA
Source: RNAcentral